AGCAGGCGCGCAAAUUACCCAAUCCCGACACGGGGAGGUAGUGACAAUAAAUAACAAUACGGGGUUCUUUNGGAUCUCGUAAUUGGAAUGAGUACAAUUUAAAUCUCUUAACGAGGAACAAUUGGAGGGCAAGUCUGGUGCCAGCAGCCGCGGUAAUUCCAGCUCCAAUAGCGUAUAUUAAGUUGUUGCAGUUAAAAAGCUCGUAGUUGAAUUUCGGGGUUAGNAGGUUGGUCAUGCCUCUGGUAUGUACUGGUCUCACUGAUUCCUCCUUCCUGAUGAACCGUAAUGCCAUUAAUUUGGUGUUGCGGGGAAUUUGGACUGUUACUUUGAAAAAAUUAGAGUGUUUAAAGCAAGCUAACGCUUGAAUACAUUAGCAUGGAAUAAUGAAAUAGGACGUUCGAUCCUAUUUUGUUGGUUUCUAGGAUUGACGUAAUGAUUAAUAGGGAUAGUUGGGGGCAUUAGUAUUCAAUUGUCAGAGGUGAAAUUCUUGGAUUUAUUGAAGACUAACUACUGCGAAAGCAUUUGCCAAGGAUGUUUUCAUUAAUCAAGAACGAAAGUUAGGGGAUCGAAGACGAUCAGAUACCGUCGUAGUCUUAACCAUAAACUAUGCCGACUAGGGAUCGGAUGAUGUUAAUUUUUUAAUGACUCAUUCGGCGCCUUACGGGAAACCAAAGUGUUUGGGUUCA
Molecule: ribosomal RNA, 686 nt
Filed under: uncultured Glomeromycotina
Lineage: Eukaryota; Fungi; Glomeromycota
Description: SSU rRNA
Rfam family: Eukaryotic small subunit ribosomal RNA
Source: RNAcentral